This 254-nucleotide ribosomal RNA is filed under the name uncultured bacterium. RNAcentral describes it as "partial 16S ribosomal RNA". It matches the Rfam family "Bacterial small subunit ribosomal RNA", at positions 524 to 776 of the family's 1533-position model. The record is from RNAcentral.
UACAGAGGGUGCAAGCGUUGUUCAGAAUUAUUGGGCGUAAAGCGCGUGUAGGCGGCCUGGCAAGUCGGGUGUGAAAGCCCUCAGCUCAACUGAGGAAGUGCGCCCGAAACUGCUAUGGUUUGAGUGCCGGAGAGGGUGGCGGAAUUCCCCAAGUAGAGGUGAAAUUCGUAGAUAUGGGGAGGAACACCGGUGGCGAAGGCGGCCACCUGGACGGUGACUGACGCUGAGACGCGAAAGCGUGGGGAGCAAACAGG